GCACAAGCGGUGGAGCAUGUGGUUUAAUUCGACGCAACGCGCAGAACCUUACCAGCCCUUGACAUGUCCAGGACCGGUCGCAGAGAUGUGGCCCUCUCUUCGGAGCCUGGAGCACAGGUGCUGCAUGGCUGUCGUCAGCUCGUGUCGUGAGAUGUUGGGUUAAGUCCCGCAACGAGCGCAACCCCCGUCCUUAGUUGCUACCAUUUAGUUGAGCACUCUAAGGAGACUGCCGGUGAUAAGCCGCGAGGAAGGUGGGGAUGACGUCAAGUCCUCAUGGCCCUUACGGGCUGGGCUACACACGUGCUACAAUGGCGGUGACAAUGGGAUGCGAAGACGCAAGUCCUAGCAAAUCUCAAAAAGCCGUCUCAGUUCGGAUUGGGCUCUGCAACUCGAGCCCAUGAAGUUGGAAUCGCUAGUAAUCGUGGAUCAGCACGCCACGGUGAAUACGUUCCCGGGC
RNAcentral lists this ribosomal RNA (457 nucleotides) under uncultured bacterium. RNAcentral's name for it is "bacterial SSU rRNA". It matches the Rfam family "Bacterial small subunit ribosomal RNA", at positions 923 to 1379 of the family's 1533-position model. The record is from RNAcentral.